RNAcentral lists this ribosomal RNA (498 nucleotides) under uncultured bacterium. RNAcentral describes it as "partial 16S ribosomal RNA". It matches the Rfam family "Bacterial small subunit ribosomal RNA", at positions 899 to 1397 of the family's 1533-position model. The record is from RNAcentral.
ACUCAAAGGAAUAGACGGGGGCCCGCACAAGCGGUGGAGCAUGUGGUUUAAUUCGAUGCAACGCGAAGAACCUUACCUGGGUUAGACAACGUAGGACAGGUGUAGAGAUACGCCCUUCUCUUCGGAGACCUGCGGUUCAGGUGCUGCAUGGCUGUCGUCAGCUCGUAUCGUGAGAUGUCGGGUUAAGUCCCUUAACGAGCGCAACCCUUGUCCUUAGUUGCCAUCAUUUAGUUGGGCACUCUAAGGAGACCGCCGGCGUUAAGCCGGAGGAAGGCGGGGAUGACGUCAAGUCCUCAUGGCCCUUAUGUCCAGGGCUACACACGUGCUACAAUGGCCGGUACAAAGGGUUGCCAACGCGCAAGCGGGAGCUAACCUCAGAAAGCCGGUCUCAGUUCGGAUUGGAGUCUGCAACUCGACUCCAUGAAGCUGGAAUCGCUAGUAAUCGCGGAUCAGAACGCCGCGGUGAAUACGUUCCCGGGCCUUGUACACACCGCCCGU